Molecule: transfer RNA, 69 nt
Filed under: Dipodomys ordii (Ord's kangaroo rat)
Lineage: Eukaryota; Metazoa; Chordata; Mammalia; Rodentia; Heteromyidae
Rfam family: tRNA
About the family: Transfer RNA (tRNA) molecules are approximately 80 nucleotides in length. Their secondary structure includes four short double-helical elements and three loops (D, anti-codon, and T loops). Further hydrogen bonds mediate the characteristic L-shaped molecular structure. tRNAs have two regions of fundamental functional importance: the anti-codon, which is responsible for specific mRNA codon recognition, and the 3' end, to which the tRNAs corresponding amino acid is attached (by aminoacyl-tRNA synthetases). tRNAs cope with the degeneracy of the genetic code in two manners: having more than one tRNA (with a specific anti-codon) for a particular amino acid; and 'wobble' base-pairing, i.e. permitting non-standard base-pairing at the 3rd anti-codon position.
Source: Rfam by way of RNAcentral
GGGAAUGUAGCUUAGUGGUAGAGUGCUUGCCUGGCAUGCAAGAAGACCUGGGUUGAUUCCUCAGUACCA